Molecule: long non-coding RNA, 1308 nt
Filed under: Carica papaya (papaya)
Lineage: Eukaryota; Viridiplantae; Streptophyta; Magnoliopsida; Brassicales; Caricaceae
Description: long non-coding RNA (CPAP_LNC011126)
Source: RNAcentral
GAAAGAUAAAAUUUAUAUUUUUCGGCAGGAGACAAACAACUUCCAGACAAACAGAAGAAAAGCACAAGAGCCAAGAUCUGUAUACUACACUCCUCCUGCAUGCUAUCUAUAUUAAGCUGGAUUUAGACUCACCUUAUUUUAUGGACUGAAAGCGAGAACAAAAGCAGAGUAGCAAGAAAAGUUCUCGUAAAGCUCAAUUUCUUUUUCUUUUUCUUUUUCUUUUCUUUUCUUUCUCCCUAAAAAUCUAUACUUUACACAAACACACACACACACACACACACACACAGACACACAUAUGUAUACUUAUAAAUAAAAGAAGAAAAGAAAAGUUCCAUUGUGAGUUGUGUCCCUUGUUUGCAGGGUAUACUCAAUAACACUCUACGCCUCACCUUUUCUCUUUUUACUCUUCUCUUUUUCUACCAUGGCUUAUUACAGCAUUUUCCAACCAAGCCGUAACUUUGCUUGCUAGUGUUUUCUUGUUUUUCUUCUUUCCAAUCUUUAUCGUAUUCUCAUUUCACUUCAAUGCACUGAAGAUUAGAAGAACCCAUCUCUGUUUUCUCGAAAAAAUCUUAUCUGGGUGCAGUAAAGAUGGUGUUAAAAAUGCAUUUUCGUCCAUCUCUGCAACUUGGUUUGGCGCAGAAACUCGUAAUAAUGAUAAUCUUCAUCUUGCUGAUCGUCAAAUCAUUGUUAGUUUCUGCCGAGACGGAUCAAGAGGAGUUCGUCGUAGCCGGAAACAACCAGAACCCCGCACCGGAAGAUCACCACCAUCACCAUCACCAUCGACACCAGCAGCAAAAACGACAUCGAAGCUUCAAGCACUCAUUUGACAUGGUGUAUUCAAACAAGAGAAGAGUUCCCAACGCUUCAGAUCCUCUUCACAAUCGUUGAAUCAACUGGGAAUUUGUUCUUGUUUUGUUUAUGUGUAGAUGAUCAAAAUGAGUUAAAUAUAUACCUAGCUUCGCUAUAGUUUAUCGGAAAAUGUGAAAAGAAAAAGACGACCUCACCGAGAGAGUUUUGAGGUUAGAUUUUAGAUUUGAUGAUGAUGAUGAUGAUGAUGGUGCGGGUCAAAGUCGGGUACGGGGUUUUUAGUUUGCGGGCAUCUUGUUAAACCGGUUGGGGGGGGGGGGGGGUAUGCUUUGCUUCUUCUUGAUUCUCGUGGAUCGCAUCCUCAUGCUUUUCCAAAUUUUGGGUAUGGUUUUAAAUUUGGAUUUCAUACGGUCCAUCUUUUAUAUCUUAUAAUUGUUACUCAUAUAUGUAAAUUUCAAUAUAUUUUAUCAAGUAAUUGAUCUUCAAGAAAUUAAUCAAGGC